CUGAUGAGCCAUGCCGCGUGUAUGAAGAAGGCCUUCGGGUUGUAAAGUACUUUCAGCGGGGAGGGGCCUAGUUAAUAACCUCAGCAAUUGACGUUACCCGAGAAGGCCCAGCUAACUCCGUGCCAGCAGCCGCGGUAAUACGGAGGGUGCAAGCGUUAAUCGGAAUUACUGGGCGUAUACAACUCAAAAGGGAGGUCUGUCAAGUCGGAUGUGAAAUCCCCGGGCUCAACCUGGGAACUGCAUUCGAAACUGGCAGGCUAGAGUCUGUAGAGGGGGGUAGAAUUCCAGGUGUAGCGGUGAAAUGCGUAGAGAUCUGGAGGAAUACC
Molecule: ribosomal RNA, 326 nt
Filed under: uncultured Enterobacter sp.
Lineage: Bacteria; Pseudomonadati; Pseudomonadota; Gammaproteobacteria; Enterobacterales; Enterobacteriaceae
Description: bacterial SSU rRNA
Rfam family: Bacterial small subunit ribosomal RNA
Source: RNAcentral